UCCGAAUUAGUUUAGUGGCUAUGACGGCGCCUUGUCAUCUUCGGAUGCUUGUUCAUAAUCUCUGCGUUUCACACGGCGCAGACCCGGGUUCAAUUCCCGGAUUCGGAG
Molecule: non-coding RNA, 108 nt
Organism: Melanopsichium pennsylvanicum
Lineage: Eukaryota; Fungi; Basidiomycota; Ustilaginomycetes; Ustilaginales
Source: the annotation of a GenBank genome assembly